Molecule: ribosomal RNA, 498 nt
Filed under: uncultured Glomeromycotina
Lineage: Eukaryota; Fungi; Glomeromycota
Description: partial small subunit ribosomal RNA
Rfam family: Eukaryotic small subunit ribosomal RNA
Source: RNAcentral
CCAAUAGCGUAUAUUAAAGUUGUUGCAGUUAAAAAGCUCGUAGUUGAAUUUCGAGACCGGUUUACUGGUCGUGCUCUUGUACGUACUGGUAUAAUCGGUUUCUCUCUUCUGACGAACUAUAAUGCCAUUAAUUUGGUUGUUAUAGAGAAUCAGGACUGUUACUUUGAAAAAAUUAGAGUGUUUAAAGCAGGCUCACGCUUGAAUACAUUAGCAUGGAAUAACGAAAUAGGACGUUUGAUUCUAUUUUGUUGGUUUCUAGGAUCGACGUAAUGAUUAAUAGGGAUAGUUGGGGGCAUUAGUAUUCAAUUGUCAGAGGUGAAAUUCUUGGAUUUAUUGAAGACUAACUACUGCGAAAGCAUUUGCCAAGGAUGUUUUCAUUAAUCAAGAACGAAAGUUAGGGGAUCGAAGACGAUCAGAUACCGUCGUAGUCUUAACCAUAAACUAUGCCGACUAGGGAUCGGAUGAUGUUAAUAUUAAUGACUCAUUCGGCACCUUACG